GGAGAGGUGCCCGAGUGGCUGAAGGGGACGGUUUGCUAAACCGUUAAACGGGGUAAACCCGUUUCAAGGGUUCGAAUCCCUUCCUCUCCG
RNAcentral lists this transfer RNA (90 nucleotides) under Elusimicrobiota bacterium. RNAcentral describes it as "Elusimicrobia bacterium (groundwater metagenome) tRNA-Ser". It matches the Rfam family "tRNA". Rfam says of the family: Transfer RNA (tRNA) molecules are approximately 80 nucleotides in length. Their secondary structure includes four short double-helical elements and three loops (D, anti-codon, and T loops). Further hydrogen bonds mediate the characteristic L-shaped molecular structure. tRNAs have two regions of fundamental functional importance: the anti-codon, which is responsible for specific mRNA codon recognition, and the 3' end, to which the tRNAs corresponding amino acid is attached (by aminoacyl-tRNA synthetases). tRNAs cope with the degeneracy of the genetic code in two manners: having more than one tRNA (with a specific anti-codon) for a particular amino acid; and 'wobble' base-pairing, i.e. permitting non-standard base-pairing at the 3rd anti-codon position. The record is from RNAcentral. Lineage: Bacteria; Pseudomonadati; Elusimicrobiota.